RNAcentral lists this ribosomal RNA (636 nucleotides) under uncultured bacterium. RNAcentral describes it as "bacterial SSU rRNA". It matches the Rfam family "Bacterial small subunit ribosomal RNA", at positions 55 to 673 of the family's 1533-position model. The record is from RNAcentral.
AUGCAGUCGACGAAGCGCUUUGAUGGAUUUCUUUCGGGAAUGAAGGAGAAGUGACUUAGUGGCGGACGGGUGAGUAACGCGUGGGUAACCUGCCUUAUACUGGGGGAUAACAGUUGGAAACGACUGCUAACACCGCAUAAGCGCACAGCAUCGCAUGAUGCAGUGUGAAAAUAUUUAUAGGUAUAAGAUGGACCCGCGUCUGAUUAGCUAGUUGGUGAGGUAAUGGCUCACCAAGGCGACGAUCAGUAGCCGGCUUGAGAGAGUGAACGGCCACAUUGGGACUGAGACACGGCCCAAACUCCUACGGGAGGCAGCAGUGGGGAAUAUUGCACAAUGGGGGAAACCCUGAUGCAGCGACGCCGCGUGAGUGAAGAAGUAUUUCGGUAUGUAAAGCUCUAUCAGCAGGGACGAACGAAGUCGCAAGACUUCUUGACGGUACCUGACUAAAAAGCCCCGGCUAACUACGUGCCAGCAGCCGCGGUAAUACUUAGGGGGCAAGCGUUAUCCGGAUUUACUGGGUGUAAAGGGAGCGUAAGGUGGUAUGGUAAGUCAGGUGUGAAAAGCCCGGGGCUCAACUCCGGGAUUGCAUUUGAAACUGCCAAACUAAAGUGCAGGANAGGUAAGUGGAAAUUCCUA